RNAcentral lists this long non-coding RNA (453 nucleotides) under Ananas comosus (pineapple). RNAcentral's name for it is "long non-coding RNA (ACOM_LNC011913)". The record is from RNAcentral. Lineage: Eukaryota; Viridiplantae; Streptophyta; Magnoliopsida; Poales; Bromeliaceae.
GUUGAGCGCCCUAUGGAUCCGCGGUAGCAUUUAAUUUUCGGAUCACCGAGAAGAGAAAAUAGGGUUCUAAGAGGGGGGAGCGGAGAAUGUGGGGGAGAGAAAGAGAUAGAGAGAGAGAGAGGACGGUCAAGCGGUGCAGAGUACAUAUAGUUAGUUAAUUCGGAUUCGGCAAAAAUUCGGUACGGGUAUAAUUCGGAUAAAAUUCGUCUUCUAAUUAUUAAAUUCGUUGAAAAAUACGGCUAAAAAACGGAUUCGGUUAUUAUUCGGAUACGUGAUUUAUACGGGUAUUAUACGUUUAUCAAUUAAAAAUUCGGGAUCAAAAAUUCGGCUAUAUAAUAAAUAUAUAAUAAUUAAUAUACUAUAUAUUAUUAUUAUUAUUAUUAUUAUUAUUAUUAUUAUUAUUAUUUAUAAAUUAAAUAUAUUUUAAAUUAUAAUAAAUAUAUAUUAAUAAUA